RNA transcript from Salvelinus namaycush (lake trout), 2364 nucleotides. It is a transcript of the gene named endonuclease domain-containing 1 protein-like, with no coding region annotated. Lineage: Eukaryota; Metazoa; Chordata; Actinopteri; Salmoniformes; Salmonidae. The record is from RefSeq and is a predicted model, not a curated record. The transcript is spliced from 4 exons.
CCAUGACACUUUCCCCUCAUCGGAUCAUUGUUUACAUCAAACGGAGAGUUACAGAGGAAGUAUCUUUUAUAAGGUUGAAUGAAAUGGAUUGUAAUCUUAUUGCUACAUCUGUGAAGUUGUAAGAAGAAUGGAAAAGUGAAUUGAAAACAUUAUACAGUUCUAUCUCUGCAGUCAUCUACCUAUGAUACCCGUAGCAUUGGUUUGGUAUCGGUAACUACCGGUACAAUCAGCGGCCACUUGUCUGCAUUUUCAAUACUAUUUUUACAAUCGUAGCUAUUUUAAUGCAUACUAUCGCUUAUAUUCGUGCUUUGUUGUAUGGUGUAAGACGUCUGUGAAGUUGUGAAAUAGUGUUUACGUGAUGCAGGCUACAGUACAGUAACUUUAGCAUGCUACUGUACAGUAGUUUAUUUUCGGUUCCAGUGUAUAACAGUUGUAUUCAACAUGUAUCAGUCAUGGAUUAGCUAAUACAUGUAUUAUGUUAUCUAGUUUAAUGGCGUAGAAGUCGUGAUAUUUUCUGUUACGUACGUCUCUUGGAGGAGGGAACGCAACACCCUGCUACAACUCAACUCCCCGUGGAGUGAAAAAGGUAUGAACCCUUGGACGUACAGGUACCUCCAGCGCUCCCUCCUGCCUCACGUUCGGCCCCUGUCCCUGGUGAUCUACCCCAGACCCACUUGUAUCCACCCCAGGCUUCUGAACUUGCCCCAGUGGGGUGAAGACCAGAAGAGGGUGAUGUCCUUCCUGCCUCUCUCUCUCUCUCCCUUAAAUGCAGCUGGUGAUUCCAGAGAGCCGGCGGGCAUCUCUCAACAAGAAGAAGCAGCAGUGGAUUGACCGGAUGCUGUUUACCAGGAGCCUCCUACAGAGCUCAUAGUUCAUCACUGUCCUUUCCCUGGUGGGGUGAAGACCAGAAGAGGGUGAUGUCCUUCCUGCCUCAGAAUGUGCUGGGUGAAUAAGUUCAGUGAUGUUCCAGAUUGUGAGAAGUUCUUCCUGGAUGGGCAAACUCCAAAUCUCCCAGGUAUUUUGGAUGGUGGGACAGUCCAGAACCAGAACCGCUACAAGCCGAUUUGCCAGAAGUACAAAACAAUCUACAGGUUUGCAACUCUCUACGACACGACCAACAGGAUCCCUGUGUUCUCAGCCUACAACUUCACUGGUCCUGGGUGCAACAGAACAAGUCAGACCUGGAUGAUAGAGCCCCAGGUAGGACUAAUGUUUGUCAUAUAACAUAACAUGUGUAUUUGUUUACUGGUAUAUAUCACAGACAGUUAUGUUACCUAGUCAGCCCUGGAUGAUAGAGCCCCAGGUAGGACUAAUGUUUUGUCAUAUAACAUGUGUAUUUAUUUACUGCUAUAGACAAACAGUUUCUUUGAGACACGAAUGUGUUGCAACCAUUUUCAGCUUAAGUCUGGAUUGCUAUAUUAUGACUUUUUUUACGAGUUAAUGUCUAAACUAGUUAAAGAGUUGUAAUGUCUGACUGAUGUUUCUGCAGCUUGAAAAUUUUAAUAUAAAAGAGAUGAAAACCCAACAAGAGUUGAAGGUGCUUAAUAAUAAAACAGACAUAAGAGUCGACCAUCAGGCUGCAGACGCAGACUACAGUGCAACAAUAAGUAGCAUGGAUCUGGACAGAGGUCACCUGUUCCCAUGUAAAGCCACACCUGAUGAUGAUACCGUGAGGUCCACCUUCACCCUGACAAACGUCGUUCCCCAGGAAAGAGGCUUCAACCGAGGCAGAUGGUGUAAAAUGGAGGGCAGAUUCAGAGUAGCUCUUAUGAACUGUAAGAAUAACAACAACCAGAUAGAAGCCUAUGUGGUGACUGGAGCAGUUCCCAACGACAACAACGUAAUACUGAACAACAGAGUGAACAUCCCAGAUCUCAUGUGGACAGCCUUCUGCUGUUACAACAACAAGAUCAAGAAGUGGAUGGCCGGAGCAUACUGGGGGGAGAACAAAAAGGACAAUGGUAAAAUAUUGAACCUGGAAACCUUGGGAGCACUCGAAGUCAAGUUGAAGAAAAGCUACAAUGUUGAUAUCAAGGUGUUUCACGAUAAAUGUCCAAGAAAAGUUAAUGUACAACAGGUUGAGCAUGUAGAUGAGGUUGAGCCGGGGAAAAAGACGGAAGGGAGCGGAGAGGGGAGUAAUAAGAUGGAGAGAACAUCAGGGGAGUUAAAGGAAUGUGAUGACGAGGAUGGAUGUGAUUGUGACUGUGAUGAAAAGUAAUGAGUUUUGUCCAGUGGUAAUUCCCACAACUAUUGAGUACACAUUGGUUAAGUAAUAAGGGUUAAAUGGUUAUAAUAGGGUUAUAAUGGUUAUAAUAAGGGUUAUAAUGGUUAUAAUAAGGGUUAAAAUGGUUAUAAUAAGGGUUA